CUCCUGCUGUCAUGAAUUUCCGUGCUGUCCUUAUCUUCUUCUGCCUGCUGGCUGUGAAAGCAAACUGUGGGGCUGUUAGAAACAGGGCAACCGAGCGUGCCUUGAAUGCCAGCAUCCAGGUGAUUAGGGUGAAGAUACGGAGCACGCUGGAGCACUUGGAUGCUUUUGGACUGCUUCCCAACAUCACCUGCCUCACCCUGAACCUUACAGAGCUGAUCAAGCCGGAGCAGCAGCACCUCACCGCUCACCAGCUGUGCUCCUUCGAGUGCCACAUGGUAAAGGUGUCAGAGUUCACCCCGGAGCUGUCGUCACAGCUGCAGGUCAUCUGCCAGAUCAUACGUGAUGUGGUGCAUCUCUGGACCGGCAAGACGGUCUCCCACACAUGCAUACUACCCUCCUUCAAGCAGGACUUGGACAGCUAUGUGUACGCCAAGUGCUUACUGGAGCUUGUGGACGAAUGGCUCGGCAAAGCAAAGUUUUGAUUUCACUGAUUGGUCGGCUACUAAUGUUCUCUUUUAUUGAAAAUAUUUAGUUAAAUCUGAUACCUGGUCAUGGAUCCUAUUGAGCAAAUGUUUUGUAUUGAAAUUAAAGUGAUGAGAAGACAA
Molecule: long non-coding RNA, 605 nt
Organism: Oreochromis aureus
Lineage: Eukaryota; Metazoa; Chordata; Actinopteri; Cichliformes; Cichlidae
Source: Ensembl